GACGAACCGUCCAAACGUUGUUCGGAAUCACUGGGCUUAAAGGGCGCGUAGGCGGGCCAUCAAGUCGGGGGUGAAAUCUUUCAGCUCAACUGGAAAAGAGCUUCCGAUACUGGUGGUCUCGAGGGAGGUAGGGGUCGAUGGAACUUCCGGUGGAGCGGUGAAAUGCGUAGAUAUCGGAAGGAACGCCGGUGGCGAAAGCGAUCGACUGGACCUUUUCUGACGCUGAGGCGCGAAAGCCAGGGGAGCAAACGGG
This 253-nucleotide ribosomal RNA is filed under the name uncultured bacterium. RNAcentral's name for it is "partial 16S ribosomal RNA". It matches the Rfam family "Bacterial small subunit ribosomal RNA", at positions 524 to 776 of the family's 1533-position model. RNAcentral also lists the same sequence under 1 other name. The record is from RNAcentral.